ACUUUUAAAGGAUAGAAGUAAUCCAGUGGUUUUAGGCACCACUUCAUUUGGCGCAACUCCAAGUAAAAGUC
This 71-nucleotide transfer RNA is filed under the name Pseudemydura umbrina (Western swamp turtle). RNAcentral describes it as "tRNA-Leu". Lineage: Eukaryota; Metazoa; Chordata; Testudines; Chelidae. The record is from RNAcentral.